Molecule: long non-coding RNA, 2447 nt
Filed under: Capsicum annuum
Lineage: Eukaryota; Viridiplantae; Streptophyta; Magnoliopsida; Solanales; Solanaceae
Description: long non-coding RNA (CANN_LNC017022)
Source: RNAcentral
AAAAUGUUAGCAGUAGGCUUCUAUCCCCAUAAUUUGAAUAUCGUGUCUAUUAGGACAUGAUCUUGCCAUAUAGUCUGAGAGGUUGGUUUCAUCAUGCUUUUCUUUGUUUGAACGUUGUGCCUUUUUACAUGGAUUAACUUUUUUGGUAUCAUUUUCUUCUUUGUCUAUGCAGACACUAAUAGUAACACCAGCCCAAUCCAACCUUUACUGACCCGGCCCGUAACCCUUUUGCCUUUUCCUCUUUUAACAUCAACAACACAAUUUCAACACAGCAACAUCAAUAACGCAGAACAAAGUCAACAGCAGCAACAACUGACAACGACAGCAGCGACCCAUACUAGCAACAUCAAUAACACCCACAAUUUCAAGGCAACAACAGUAAAGCAAUUUUGAAAUUCAAAUCUCAAUUGGUAUUCCCUCUUUACCCCUCCGUUUUCCCCAAAUCAGUGCAAAAGCUCCUAUAAAUACCCAUGUAUGUAGAGUGAAGGGAAGAAGAGGAUUUUUGGAGAAAAAUUGAGGGUUUGGGAGGCGUGAGUUUCUAAUCCUACGCAACCAAAAAUUCUCGAAGAAACACCGGUUUGAAAUCGUCCAUUCGUCGUCCAGAUUCGCUGCUCCGAAACCGGUAAGGACUUCAUUCUCUUUGUAUUUAUCUUCACUUUUAUUUUUAUGUAUUUGGAAAUUGUAAUUGCAAAUUGAAUACUGUGUUGUCAUUUCGAUCCUUCGUUGGGCUUAACAAGUUAUACGAUUUGUCAGACGGGUUUAUAUUGGAAUAUAUGUGUGUUUGGUGUGUAUCGGAAUUGAAAGUAUAAUUAAUCAUUAACAUGGAUUGAAAAACUCGAAGCUUUUAACAGAUUGUGCCAUGUUUGAUUAUCAUCUUAAGCCUCGGUUACUUUUUUUCCCACUUGUAAAAGGUUGAAAAUAUGCUUUAAAUUUUUUAUGAAUUCCUAAUUACUAAAUCUUAAAUAGUAUUAUCUGUACAGACAAUGUGUAACUCCAGUGGCUUCCCAUUUUAUUCAGUUUAUUUUUCUCUUUUCUAUAGAAAUAAAUUCAUAAGUAGAUUGUGAUUAUAGCAUGUUUAAGUCAUGUUCUUGGUUUUUCUUUUGGUUCCAUUUUGGAAUAAAAUAAUUUUAUCUUUGCUAGCCAUUGAAAUAAAAAUAUGUAUACAUAUAUGUAUGUUUUACUAAAUGUUUCAAAUGAGACUAGUUAUAAGAUUUGUUAUGUUCACUUAAUUUUGUUCCAGUAAAAUAGCAGGUUCUUAAUGUUAGUUGCCACACUUGAAUAAAAGUCCUCAUCACCUCCAAUUUUGUGUCCUUAUCACCUCCAAUUUUGUGAUAAAUAUGUGUGAUUUCAUUAUUUCUCAUUGGCCUAGGUCGCGUAAGCCCGGUUAGUGGAUCUAUUUGAUAAAUAAUAUGUUCCUCCUCGCUUUACUUUCCUCAAAAACCUAGUUAAUGUUUUGUUGUUAUUUGAUUCAUUUUACUGUUGGGUUCCAAGGAAUUAUUGUUUUUUUUUUCUUUAUAAAAGAUAUGUAUAAUUAUUCAAAAUCUAAAAUGUUAGCAGUAGGCUUCUAUCCCCAUAAUUUGAAUAUCGUGUCUAUUAGGACAUGAUCUUGCCAUAUAGUCUGAGAGGUUGGUUUCAUCAUGCUUUUCUUUGUUUGAACGUUGUGCCUUUUUACAUGGAUUAACUUUUUUGGUAUCAUUUUCUUCUUUGUCUAUGCAGACACUAAUAGUAGAACUAUCUAUCUUUCAUGAAAUUCUAAAUGUAUUUGCUAUCUUGAUUAGUUUAGGGUUUUGGAUGUUGAUAACUGUUAAAAUUAACAUCAGUCGUCCUCUUGACGUGUUAUUAAUUCCUUGUCUUUUUUUUGCAUAAAACCAUCUUGAACGAGUCCAAUGGGACUCCCCAUAUCGUUGCAUCGACCCACAUUAUCUCGAGUCAAGCCUUAAAGUCCAAAACUGGACUGAUAUGCAUGGGAUAUACACUUAGAUACAAUUGGUGUACACUGGAAAGCAGCUGAUAAUGGCGUAUAUUAAAAGUAGAAGCGAGCAUACAAGGUUUAUACACAGAUAUACAGAAGGUAUACAAAAAUCCGAUAAUACAGUCCGAUAUACAUCAGAUAUACAAAAACGCAGGGAAAGAAUAGCUGCUGUAUACAGCUGAUAUACAGGAGAAAAUGGAUUGAAAUCCAUUCGGCUUAGGCCCAAGAGCUGGGCAGCCCAGUAAUGGUCCAAAAGGGCCCAAUUUUUACUCUUUCUUUAUUUUUUAUUCCUACUUAUUUGUAUUUAUUUGAACACUAACUAACUAAUCUAGGUAAAUUCCCUAAAUUGUUGUCACUUUUAUUUUAUCUUAGUUUUUUUCGCUUAAUUAAUAAUUUCCUCACCUAAUUUAUAUUGUUUAAGACGGAUUAAAUUAUUUCCUUUGAUUUUCUCCUUAAAAUAAGUCUUUUAAAAGUG